GAUGAACGCUGGCGGCGUGCCUAAUACAUGCAAGUCGAGCGAACGGACGAGAAGCUUGCUUCUCUGAUGUUAGCGGCGGACGGGUGAGUAACACAUGGAUAACCUACCUAUAAGACUGGGAUAACUUCGGGAAACCGUAGCUAAUACCGGAUAAUAUUUUGAACCGCAUGGUUCAAAAGUGAAAGACGGUCUUGCUGUCACUUAUAGAUGGAUCCGCGCUGCAUUAGCUAGUUGGUAAGGUAACGGCUUACCAAGGCAACGAUGCAUAGCCGACCUGAGAGGGUGAUCGGCCACACUGGAACUGAGACACGGUCCAGACUCCUACGGGAGGCAGCAGUAGGGAAUCUUCCGCAAUGGGCGAAAGCCUGACGGAGCAACACCGCGUGAGUGAUGAAGGUCUUCGGAUCGUAAAACUCUGUUAUUAGGGAAGAACAUAUGUGUAAGUAACUGUGCACAUCUUGACGGUACCUAAUCAGAAAGCCACGGCUAACUACGUG
This 497-nucleotide ribosomal RNA is filed under the name uncultured bacterium. RNAcentral describes it as "partial 16S ribosomal RNA". It matches the Rfam family "Bacterial small subunit ribosomal RNA", at positions 28 to 507 of the family's 1533-position model. The record is from RNAcentral.